CACGUUUUCCGCGCCGUAGCUAACGCAUUAAGUGCCCCGCCUGGGGAGUACGGCCGCAAGGCUAAAACUCAAAGGAAUUGACGGGGGCCCGCACAAGCGGCGGAGCAUGCGGAUUAAUUCGAUGCAACGCGAAGAACCUUACCAAGGCUUGACAUGAACCGGAAUGAUGCAGAGAUGUGUCAGCCACUUGUGGCCGGUUUACAGGUGGUGCAUGGUUGUCGUCAGCUCGUGUCGUGAGAUGUUGGGUUAAGUCCCGCAACGAGCGCAACCCUCGUUCCAUGUUGCCAGCGGGUUAUGCCGGGGACUCAUGGGAGACUGCCGGGGUCAACUCGGAGGAAGGUGGGGACGACGUCAAAUCAUCAUGCCCCUUAUGUCUUGGGCUUCACGCGUGCUACAAUGGCCGGUACAAAGGGUUGCGAUGCUGUGAGGUGGAGCUAAUCCCAAAAAGCCGGUCUCAGUUCGGAUUGAGGUCUGCAACUCGACCUCAUGAAGUUGGAGUCGCUAGUAAUCGCAGAUCAGCAACG
Molecule: ribosomal RNA, 524 nt
Filed under: Arthrobacter echini
Lineage: Bacteria; Bacillati; Actinomycetota; Actinomycetes; Micrococcales; Micrococcaceae
Description: bacterial SSU rRNA
Rfam family: Bacterial small subunit ribosomal RNA
Source: RNAcentral